AUGCCGCCAGUCCUCGGUUCCAUGCGCCAUCCUGCUCUAGCUUCAUGUAAGGGUGCAAUGAAAUCCGUGCUCCCCUGCAAGGCGCUUCACCAUGGGUCUUGGGCGUCUGUCGUCUCUGCUACCGUUGACUCAGCAACCCCACCCGAUAUGAUGUUGCGGUCCUCUCUGACCGAUCAGACAACAUUGUUGCAGAGUUGUCUGGCACGGGUUCAUAGCUUUCUUGAGCGGGCGGAGGUUGCUCUUAGCAGGCUCUCCCUUGCACCGGCUAGGUCGCAGACCACUCCGAUGUCAUGCCCCUCUGGCGUGGAAGAUGUUGGCUCUAUGGAGGAAGGGAGGCAAGAGUUAUAUGGAUGUUUCUCCCCUUGUAUUGAGAACGGUUCAUCGUCACUCUCGGGCGAGUCCAUUGUCGUGCUUGAUGCUCCGGUGUUGCAGGUCAUGCCCGAGCUAUGA
This 450-nucleotide ribosomal RNA is filed under the name Triticum aestivum (bread wheat). Its description in RNAcentral is "partial small subunit ribosomal RNA". The record is from RNAcentral. Lineage: Eukaryota; Viridiplantae; Streptophyta; Magnoliopsida; Poales; Poaceae.